This is a long non-coding RNA of Phyllostomus discolor (pale spear-nosed bat), 1736 nucleotides long. RefSeq lists it as uncharacterized. Lineage: Eukaryota; Metazoa; Chordata; Mammalia; Chiroptera; Phyllostomidae. The record is from RefSeq and is a predicted model, not a curated record. The transcript has 2 exons.
GUCACUGAUGAGCUCGACAAACUGUUGAUCCUGACCACGUGGAGUGGCGGACCGAGGGACCGCGGGGCGCGGCCGCUCGCCCUGCGCUGCGGCACUCGGAGAUCCCGGGACCCCGCGCCUCUUCCGCAGCGCUAGGGGCAGCGCGCGGGUGGGGCCGCGGAGCGCGGAGGGCACUGCCUGCGCCUUCUCUCGUCUUUGGGCUCGGGGAAAUAAUAACAACCACUAAAAAAAAAAAAUGUUUUUAAAGCGAGAAACAUUUUCCUCCUGGAAUAGCAAUGAGAGGGCUUGGGGUAAGGAGGCUAAGAAAAAAAAAAAAAAAAAGCUCCCAGUUAUAUAACGACUUAAAAUUAGGUGACUUUUGCUGGGGAGAUUCCGAGAUUUCCUCUUGCGCUAGGUCGGAGGUUGGUAAAAGAUUCUCAAACUUUUUUCCAUAAGAGCCAAUAAACAAACAGGCGCCCCGGGUGCUGACUUCAACUCUUGGAGGGCUGGCGUUUGCUGGGAUUCUGACUCUGAGAAAUGCACACCCCUGCGGCGCUGGCGGUGAAGUCCCUCGGAAACGAGGCGGUUCCCUUUCAGACUUAGGACUCCUCCGGCUUUCCCGGCGGGAGAACAUCUCUUACCGUCGCCGCCCCCUGGCUCCUCUCGGGCAUUUUAGAGCACUGCCGGGCUGGGAUCAAGCUGCCCAUCGCCCGCGGCCUCGGGAACUUGAAUUUGCAUUUUGGGCGCGGCGCUCCUGCCACAGUGCUGGGUUAAGGACCUCUAAGGGAUUCGGGAUCCCGGGGACGCUUUCGGAUUGAAUCUUGCGGGGCAACCUGUCGGCGCUGCCCGGAUGGACCGGUUUUCCCUCCGUGGGCAUCUCGAUGCUUCGGCACCUCCCGGGCGAGAGCUGAGAGCGAGCUCGCAGUCGCCAAGCCUAGGGCGAGGGGAGACUGGCCGGGGUCUGCUUUUGACGCUCGGAGCGCAGAGAGAAAACAAAAGAAACCUGGAACCCGGAGGCUUUGCGGCGUCUCUGCUUGCCCGCCCUGAGGAGGAGCCGGCGCGGAGCGUCGGAGCUUCUUGGCCAGCCUCUGCUCCGGGGAAUUAGAACGAACUCUAGCGGCGGUUUGCGACUCAGCUCUGGGCGCGAGGGCAGCAACAGCAGCCACAGGAAAUGAACACAGAUGGUGUGGGUGUGCCGCGCUGGAUGCAAGAGGUCUUGCAGGUGGGGCUGAAGGAUGUCUCAGCAGCAGCUGCUGUGAACCCAUGACUGAGGGAUGAUGGGAUCAUGGAUCCUCAGAAGAGGGCAGUGUGGACAGAUGACCCUGAAGAUAAGAGGGUGCUUCUCCCUUUCUCUCCCUCCUACAUGGAUAUCAGGCUCUAUACACAUCGUUCAAAACCUGGGCCAGCCCUCCAGGAAGAGGAGCAAGGGAUGGGAGACCAAUUGCCUGAGAUUAUUGCUACCGCAUGGGCUGAAUGGGAGGGAGCUCACAGUACAGACGGAGCUGCAUCACAGAAAUGGAAGAAAGUUGUCAGUCUUUCACACCUGAGUUGAGGUUUCUGAUUUAUAACCAACACGCUCUUUGCAGAACGAUACUUCCCAGGGUGGCGUGUGUGGCUACGCAGUGGUCGUGUGGACGCACAGACACCAGGACCCAGAUUGGUCUGUGGUCUUUCAAGAUCGAUUGAAGGUGGAAAAUUAGAAUAUCGUGUUGUUUUUUAAAAUUAUAACAUAUUUUGAAUUACUUUAAGAUUCCCCC